Molecule: ribosomal RNA, 346 nt
Filed under: Chaetoceros curvisetus
Lineage: Eukaryota; Bacillariophyta; Thalassiosirophyceae; Chaetocerotales; Chaetocerotaceae
Description: partial Bacterial small subunit ribosomal RNA
Rfam family: Bacterial small subunit ribosomal RNA
Source: RNAcentral
GAACGCUGGCGGCGUGCUUAACACAUGCAAGUCGAACGGGAUUUAGUAGACAGAAGCUUCGGUGGAAGAUUACUAAUGAGAGUGGCGAACGGGUGAGUAACGCGUGAGCAACCUGCCUAUGACAGUGGGAUAGCCUCGGGAAACCGGGAUUAAUACCGCAUAAAAUCGUAGAAACACAUGUUUUAACGGUCAAAGAUUUAUCGGUCAUAGAUGGGCUCGCGUCUGAUUAGCUAGUUGGUGAGAUAACAGCCCACCAAGGCGACGAUCAGUAGCCGGUCUGAGAGGAUGAACGGCCACAUUGGAACUGAGACACGGUCCAAACUCCUACGGGAGGCAGCAGUGGGGA